CCUACGGGUGGCAGCAGUGAGGAAUAUUGGUCAAUGGACGAGAGUCUGAACCAGCCAAGUAGCGUGAAGGAUGACUGCCCUAUGGGUUGUAAACUUCUUUUAUAUGGGAAUAAAAUGUUCCACGUGUGGGAUUUUGUAUGUACCAUAUGAAUAAGGAUCGGCUAACUCCGUGCCAGCAGCCGCGGUAAUACGGCGGAUCCGAGCGUUAUCCGGAUUUAUUGGGUUUAAAGGGAGCGUAGGUGGAUUGUUAAGUCAGUUGUGAAAGUUUGCGGCUCAACCGUAAAAUUGCAGUUGAAACUGGCAGUCUUGAGUACAGUAGAGGUGGGCGGAAGUCGUGGUGUAGCGGUGAAAGGCUUAGAUAUCACGAAGAACUCCGAUUGCGAAGGCAGCUCACUGGACUGCAACUGACACUGAGGCUCGAAAGUGGGGGUAUCAAACAGGAUUAGAUACCCCAGUAGUC
This 460-nucleotide ribosomal RNA is filed under the name uncultured bacterium. RNAcentral's name for it is "partial 16S ribosomal RNA". It matches the Rfam family "Bacterial small subunit ribosomal RNA", at positions 338 to 795 of the family's 1533-position model. The record is from RNAcentral.